Long non-coding RNA from Corvus hawaiiensis (hawaiian crow), 358 nucleotides. RefSeq lists it as uncharacterized. The transcript is spliced from 3 exons. NCBI's taxonomy places the organism in Eukaryota, Metazoa, Chordata, Aves, Passeriformes, Corvidae. The record is from RefSeq and is a predicted model, not a curated record.
AGAAGAAAAUGGGAAUUUAAAAAUGAAACCUUCCAUUUUACAGAAUUGAUAUAGACCACACAGUAAACUUAGGGGACAACAGGAGAAGCUUAAGGAACAGAAAUCCAUGGAGGCUUACUAAAUGCUUAGAAGUAUUAGAAGACACUUGUGGCUCAGAAAUGCCCCGAGCUGAAAAAGGAUAGAAGAUUUUCAACCUUAACAUAUGCCUUAGCUGCUAUAGCACAGAAGCCGACUAAAUUCUUCUAUGGAUUGUGCCUUGGAUCAGCAGAAAAGCAACGAGAGAAAUAUUACACUGGGCAAUCUGAAGUAUCUCAGAGAAAAGGCUGACUUUUCUUUUCAAAUGUAUGGAAAGGCAAAA